RNAcentral lists this ribosomal RNA (253 nucleotides) under uncultured bacterium. RNAcentral describes it as "partial 16S ribosomal RNA". It matches the Rfam family "Bacterial small subunit ribosomal RNA", at positions 524 to 776 of the family's 1533-position model. The record is from RNAcentral.
UACGUAGGGGGCUAGCGUUGUCCGGAAUCAUUGGGCGUAAAGAGCGUGUAGGCGGCCCGGUAAGUCCGCUGUAAAAGUCAAAGGCUCAACCUUUGAAUGUCAGUGGAUACUGCCGGGCUAGAGUCCGGAAGAGGCGAGUGGAACUCCCGGUGUAGCGGUGGAAUGCGCAGAUAUCAGGAAGAACACCAACGGCGAAGGCAGCUCGCUGGGACGGUACUGACGCUGAGACGCGAAAGCGUGGGGAGCGAACAGG